Molecule: ribosomal RNA, 548 nt
Filed under: uncultured bacterium
Lineage: Bacteria
Description: bacterial SSU rRNA
Rfam family: Bacterial small subunit ribosomal RNA
Source: RNAcentral
AAUAGAUACCCAGGUAGUCCACGCCGUAAACGAUGGAUGCUAGCUGUUAUGCGUAUCGACCCGUGUAGUAGCGAAGCUAACGCGUUAAGCAUCCCGCCUGGGGAGUACGAACGCAAGUUUAAAACUCAAAGGAAUUGACGGGGACCCGCACAAGCGGUGGAGCGUGUUCUUUAAUUCGAGGCUAAGCGAAGAACCUUACCAGGGCUUGACAUCCUUGGAAUUUCUCCGAAAGGAGAGAGUACUUUAUUGGACCGAGUGACAGGUGCUGCAUGGCCGUCGUCAGCUCGUGUCGUGAGAUGUUUGGUUAAGUCCAUUAACGAGCGCAACCCUUAUGAAUAGUUGUAUUUUUCUAUUCAGACUGCCCCGGUAACGGGGAGGAAGGAGGGGAUGAUGUCAGGUCAGUAUUGCCCUUACGCCCUGGGCUAGAAACGCGCUACAAUGGCCGGUACAAUGCGCUGCCAACCCGCGAGGGGGAGCAAAUCGCAUCAAAGCCGGUCCCAGUUCGGAUAAGAGGCUGAAACUCGCCUCUUGAAGCCGGAAUCGCUAGU